This 358-nucleotide ribosomal RNA is filed under the name uncultured eukaryote. RNAcentral's name for it is "LSU rRNA". It matches the Rfam family "Bacterial large subunit ribosomal RNA", at positions 2120 to 2478 of the family's 2925-position model. The record is from RNAcentral.
CUCUCAGCUUAUUUUGCGCAGCUUAGGUGGGAGGCUAUGAACCUUUUCUUCUGGGAAGAGGGGAGCCGUCAGUGAGAUACCACUCUUGGUAAGCUAGAGCGCUCAGUCUUAACCGUCAUCCGGUAAGACGACAGUUUCAGGCGGGCAGUUUGACUGGGGCAGUCACCUCCCAAAAGGUAAUGGAGGUGUGCAAAGGUUCACUCAGGCUGGACGGAAAUCAGCCAUAGAGUGUAAAAGCAAAAGGGAGCUUGACUGCGAGACUGACAUGUCAAGCAGAGACGAAAGUCGGCUUUAGUGAUCCGACGGUGCUGUGUGGAAAGGCCGUCGCUCAACGGAUAAAAGUUACUCUAGGGAUAAC